Molecule: ribosomal RNA, 512 nt
Filed under: uncultured bacterium
Lineage: Bacteria
Description: partial 16S ribosomal RNA
Rfam family: Bacterial small subunit ribosomal RNA
Source: RNAcentral
UGGGGAAUAUUGCACAAUGGGCGCAAGCCUGAUGCAGCCAUGCCGCGUGUGUGAAGAAGGCCUUCGGGUUGUAAAGCACUUUCAGCGAGGAGGAAGGUGGUGGACUUAAUACGUUCAUCAAUUGACGUUACUCGCAGAAGAAGCACCGGCUAACUCCGUGCCAGCAGCCGCGGUAAUACGGAGGGUGCAAGCGUUAAUCGGAAUUACUGGGCGUAAAGCGCACGCAGGCGGUUUGUUAAGUCAGAUGUGAAAUCCCCGGGCUCAACCUGGGAACUGCAUUUGAAACUGGCAAGCUAGAGUCUCGUAGAGGGGGGUAGAAUUCCAGGUGUAGCGGUGAAAUGCGUAGAGAUCUGGAGGAAUACCGGUGGCGAAGGCGGCCCCCCUGGACGAAGACUGACGCUCAGGUGCGAAAGCGUGGGGCAGCAAACAGGAUUAGAUACCCUGGUAGUCCACGCUGUAAACGAUGUCGAUUUGGAGGUUGUGCCCUUGAGGCGUGGCUUCCGGAGCUAACG